GGAAUAUUGGACAAUGGGCGAAAGCCUGAUCCAGCAAUGCCGCGUGAGUGAUGAAGGCCUUAGGGUUGUAAAGCUCUUUUACCCGGGAUGAUAAUGACAGUACCGGGAGAAUAAGCCCCGGCUAACUCCGUGCCAGCAGCCGCGGUAAUACGGAGGGGGCUAGCGUUGUUCGGAAUUACUGGGCGUAAAGCGCACGUAGGCGGACCGGAAAGUCAGAGGUGAAAUCCCAGGGCUCAACCUUGGAACUGCCUUUGAAACUCCUGGUCUUGAGGUCGAGAGAGGUGAGUGGAAUUCCGAGUGUAGAGGUGAAAUUCGUAGAUAUUCGGAAGAACACCAGUGGCGAAGGCGACUCACUGGACACGUAUUGACGCUGAGGUGCGAAAGCGUGGGGAGCAAA
This 397-nucleotide ribosomal RNA is filed under the name uncultured bacterium. Its description in RNAcentral is "bacterial SSU rRNA". It matches the Rfam family "Bacterial small subunit ribosomal RNA", at positions 358 to 772 of the family's 1533-position model. The record is from RNAcentral.